AGGACGAACGCUGGCGGCGUGCUUAACACAUGCAAGUCGAGCGGAAAGGCCCUUCGGGGUACUCGAGCGGCGAACGGGUGAGUAACACGUGAGUAACCUGCCCUGGACUUUGGGAUAACCCUCGGAAACGGGGGCUAAUACCGGAUACGACACUCUCCUGCAUGGGAUGGGUGUGGAAAGUUUUUCGGCUGGGAUGGGCUCGCGGCCUAUCAGCUUGUUGGUGGGUGAUGGCCUACCAAGGCGACGACGGUAGCCGGCCUGAGAGGGCGACCGGCCACGACUGGGACUGAGACACGGCCCAGACUCCUACGGGAGCAGCCAGUGGGGAAUAUUGCACAAUGGGCGAAGCCUGAUGCAGCGACGCCGCGUGAGGGAUGGACGGCCUUCGGUGUAAACCUCUUUCAGCAGGGGCGAAGCGAGAGUGACGGUACCUGCCGAGAAGAAGUCGACCGG
RNAcentral lists this ribosomal RNA (453 nucleotides) under uncultured soil bacterium. RNAcentral describes it as "bacterial SSU rRNA". It matches the Rfam family "Bacterial small subunit ribosomal RNA", at positions 26 to 500 of the family's 1533-position model. The record is from RNAcentral.